AUUGAACGCUGGCGGCAGGCUGAACAAAUGCAAGUCGAGCGGAGCGGCGGACGGGUGAGUAAUGCCUAGGAAUCUGCCUGGUGGUGGGGGAUAACGUCCGGAAACGGGUGCUACUACCGCAUAAUAUCAGGUGAGCCUAGGUCGGAUUAGCUAGUUGGUGGGGUAAAGGCCUACCAAGGCGAAGAUCCGUAACUGGUCUGAGAGGAUGAUCAGUCACCCUUGAACUGAGACAAGGUCCAGAGUCUUACGUCAGGCAGCAGUGGGCAAUAUGGGGCAAUGAGCAAGAUCCUGAUCCAGCCAUGCCGCUCGUGUGAAGAAUGUCUUCGGAUUGUAAACCACUGAAGUUGGUAGUCGUUACCAACAGAAUAAGCACCGGCUAACUUCGAGCCAGCAGCCGCGGUAAUAC
RNAcentral lists this ribosomal RNA (406 nucleotides) under uncultured bacterium. RNAcentral describes it as "partial 16S ribosomal RNA". It matches the Rfam family "Bacterial small subunit ribosomal RNA", at positions 30 to 526 of the family's 1533-position model. The record is from RNAcentral.